Molecule: ribosomal RNA, 443 nt
Filed under: uncultured bacterium
Lineage: Bacteria
Description: partial 16S ribosomal RNA
Rfam family: Bacterial small subunit ribosomal RNA
Source: RNAcentral
CCUACGGGUGGCAGCAGUGGGGAAUAUUGGGCAAUGGGCGCAAGCCUGACCCAGCAACGCCGCGUGAAGGAAGAAGGCUUUCGGGUUGUAAACUUCUUUUCUCAGGGACGAAGCAAGUGACGGUACCUGAGGAAUAAGCCACGGCUAACUACGUGCCAGCAGCCGCGGUAAUACGUAGGUGGCAAGCGUUAUCCGGAUUUACUGGGGGUAAAGGGCGUGUAGGCGGGAAAGCAAGUCAGAUGUGAAAACCAUGGGCUCAACCUGUGGCCUGCAUUUGAAACUGUUUUUCUUGAGUGCUGGAGAGGAAAUCGGAAUUCCGGGUGUAGCGGUGAAAUGCGUAGAUAUACGGAGGAACACCAGUGGCGAAGGCGGAUUGCUGGACAGUAACUGACGCUGAGGCGCGAAAGCGUGGGGAGCAAACAGGAUUAGAUACCCUUGUAGUC